GCGGGGNUGUCCGAGCUUGGUCAAAGGAGACGGAUUCAGGCUCCGUCGCGUAGAGCUGCGUGGGUUCAAAUCCCACACCCCGCA
RNAcentral lists this transfer RNA (84 nucleotides) under Candidatus Marsarchaeota G2 archaeon ECH_B_3. Its description in RNAcentral is "tRNA-Leu". It matches the Rfam family "tRNA". Rfam says of the family: Transfer RNA (tRNA) molecules are approximately 80 nucleotides in length. Their secondary structure includes four short double-helical elements and three loops (D, anti-codon, and T loops). The record is from RNAcentral. Lineage: Archaea; Thermoproteati; Thermoproteota.